RNAcentral lists this long non-coding RNA (282 nucleotides) under Varroa destructor (honeybee mite). RNAcentral describes it as "uncharacterized LOC111244796, transcript variant X2". The record is from RNAcentral. Lineage: Eukaryota; Metazoa; Arthropoda; Arachnida; Mesostigmata; Varroidae.
CCGAUUCCAGGAAACGAGUCGUAUUGGAAUGCAAUCGACGGUCAGCUUAAAAAAAUCCAGCGCAUUUGAACCUGUGCAUCUCAAGGACUGGUGAAAUUAACAGACAGCUGCGGCUAGGCAAGAUCGUACUAAGAUGCGGCGUGCAAGAAUGACUUCACGUAAGGCCCGCAUCGGAGAGCGCCCCAAAUUUUGAAGCGGUCGCAACCUGUUUUUUUCAGAAAGAGGAGAGAUCGCCCAUAAGGCCUGGAUGACCUGACAGAUUUCAUUGGGCUCAUAGCGCUU